This 2357-nucleotide long non-coding RNA is filed under the name Hordeum vulgare. Its description in RNAcentral is "long non-coding RNA (HVUL_LNC010044)". Lineage: Eukaryota; Viridiplantae; Streptophyta; Magnoliopsida; Poales; Poaceae. The record is from RNAcentral.
CAGCCACGUCAGCUGAACUCGGAAGUCAGAAGUAUCAAUGCGCUUUACCUGAGCAUAAACUCUUGGCAUACCAUCAAGGUUAUCAUAAAGGGCCCAGAUUUGAUCAACUGCAAUCAGGUUUACAUCUCUGAUCUUGCCAAAGUCAAAAAAGUCAGGAUGAUUGUAGGCAAUCACAGGACUGCCAGGCUUCUGAGGAGCACUACCACUUGCUUCCUUGUAACUUUGCUGAUUGGCUUCAUGACUUGCAAUUACUCCAUCUUGGCUAUCCACUCUACUUAAGGCAUGAUGCUCAGCAGACUGAUUCUCAGCAACAGCAGCAUUGUCAUUAGACAUUUGCUCAGAAGCACUAGAUGGUAAGUCAUGGUUCCUUUGCCUCUUAUAAUUAGAGGAGCCGGUGCCGUGGCUGCAGUCUGUGCCAUCAUCUUGCUUUCUCUUACCUAAUCUCUGAAGGCUCGAGGACCUUGCAAUAUUUGGCACUAGAGAUGCAUCUUCAUUCUGUGUGGAAAUGAGGUUUGGAUCAGGAUGAGUUGAUCUCAAAUUGCUAACUGAUACCUUGUCUGCGGCAGGCACAGAAGAUUUAGCUUGGUUCAUUGCUGAAAACUGAACUACAUCGCUUCUUGUCUCUGAACGGUUACCUUCCUCAUCACCGCUUGCCCUGUCAUCCCUUUCUGUAUGUUCAUCAAUUCGAGCAACAUUCAUGGUAGGUUCCGAGUCAAUGUUCCCCCCUGUCUGGGCCUGCUGAUUGGUGACGCCAUGUUGUUGACAUGAAAUCUUCCCAGGUGAAACUUCAGCAUUAUUUGCUGAAUAAGAUAGGAAACUCGAGGGCGUUGUCUGCUCAUGCAGCUUGAAUGCAAAGAACAAUUUACCACAGUUAUCACAGAUGACCAAAAAGUUCUUUUUGUAGUACACAAAUCGCCUCCGNUGCCGCCUUUCUCUUCUGUGAGACGGAAUGACGGAAUUCGAUGAGAAAAUCUCAGGUUCUCUUUCCUCGGUAUUUUCAGUACUUCCUUGAUCGGGUCAGGCUUGAACACAGCGACAUAGCCAUCAACUUUAGUCAGGAAAGACAAUAAUGUGCUUCGUUUACUGCACUCGACGAUCUCCCCGAUAGCAUAAUGAGUGGUGUGCUUGUUGCUAGAAGGAACCCAAUCAGGUGACCAGUUCUUGUGGAUGGCCCAAACUUCAUCGACCUUCGGAUGAAUUUUAACCUGCCAGUUCAUAUUGAUUUGGCUAUUUUCUACCAAAUCGGAGAAGGAAUGGUUUCCACCAUACUUGUCUUCCCAGCUUCGUAUUUCAAAUUUGCCACAGCUCACAGGUACAUUCUGCCCCAACCAAAGCUUCUCCUGCGCCUGCUGAGGGCAGGCCUGGAGCCAGGUCAAAUGCACUUCGAACGGUUGUGUCUCAACUUUCCUCACCCAGCCAUACACAUUCGGGAAUGUGUCAGCAUCAUUGUAGAUAGCCCAAAUUUGGCCAUUUUCAAACUUCUCGCAUGACCGGUCUUCUUCGAAGUUGUGGAAUUCAGAUUCUGGAUAUGGAUAAGAAAUGAAUUCCGAAGACAUGUAAGAGCCGAGAGUACUGGAAGGAAAUGCUCUUUCCAGGUCACUUGGAAGAGCUGCUGUAUCCAGUUCCAGGAACCCUUCUGCAACGCCCACCCUUUCAUUUCCAUUUGUUCUAUAAAAGGGGAUGCAGUGAGAAAAUCUCAGUAGCUCACUUGAUGGUAUCAAAAAAAAGCAUUUGUCCUUAGCUUGUGCAAACAGACUAACGAAGCCUUCAAUCCUCAUUAGCGGCGAAACAAUGACAUCGCCACUCGUUGAGCCAUCAGAGAUAACUUCCACAAGAUCAUAUCCAUAGGAUCGACAGUUAUCUGCAUCAGAGAUCCAUUGCAUGCUCCAUCUUUUAUAAAGAGCCCAUACCUCACCCUUAUUAGGAUUUAUUUCAUAGGAGUUCCCAUUUUUGCCUUUUGUCAAUGGAACUCUGUGAGACAAGUAUAUGGAUGGAUCUUGUAAUAGGUUCGUUUCUCCUCCUAAGCAGAAGCUUCCACAAGAUACAGGCAACUCCUUAUUAUUCCAAUUGGCUUCUUGUUCAUUCCUUGGAUUGUACUCCAGCCACGUCAGCUGAACUCGGAAGUCAGAAGUAUCAAUGCGCUUUACCUGAGCAUAAACUCUUGGCAUACCAUCAAGGUUAUCAUAAAGGGCCCAGAUUUGAUCAACUGCAAUCAGGUUUACAUCUCUGAUCUUGCCAAAGUCAAAAAAGUCAGGAUGAUUGUAGGCAAUCACAGGACUGCCAGGCUUCUGAGGAGCACUACCACUUGCUUCCUUGUAACUUUGCUGAUUGGCUUCAUGACUUGCAAUUACUCCAUC